This 915-nucleotide long non-coding RNA is filed under the name Eufriesea mexicana. RNAcentral describes it as "uncharacterized LOC108549951, transcript variant X2". The record is from RNAcentral. Lineage: Eukaryota; Metazoa; Arthropoda; Insecta; Hymenoptera; Apidae.
GGUCGAAAUUUAUUUGUUCUUGCAUCCGCGACACAUUCCAGCCGCGAGCAGGCGAAAAAUAAUGAAAUGAGGAAUCACCAACAUCUUCCCGACCGGGUCCAGUGACACUUGAGGAUCGAGAGAAUGACUGACACCGUGAGCUUGGAUGAGAAAAAGCAAUACGCGACCGGCCAUUUAAAUGCGUCGUGCUUCUUCGACAGUUUGUGCCGUGACUUCUUCUCCCCUUCUCCACUAGCCGUCUUUAAGGCAAUAACGUCACUGGAGAACAAUCCAAUCGGAGGCAUAAAGGCUCUGCUUCGGGGCCUGUUCGCUUUUCUGCCUAUUUCUCGACAGCUUCAAAAGUCUUUCUAACGAUUGUCACACUUCGUUCCUCGUAAUUACAACGAAACGAUACUUAUCGUCAAGCCAAACAGAGCAGAUAUUGUUCGUGCGAGGAGGAUCACAUUUGUAUUUCGACUGAUUCGAUGAAAGGUGACUUGAUUCACGGAACAUGAUGGAGAGGGAAAUAAACAAAGAUGUGACAUCGAAUUCGUGUACCGAGGAAAAUUAGUAAUAUAGUGAUAUUCAUGAUAUGGUACGAGAAUCUUUUUAAUCUGGAUGUAUUUCGAAACUAAACAACUCGAUUUAUCUCCCCCGAGGUGUAAUCUCUUAGAGAUCUGGUGGAUAAUACGUGUUUUAUCUUCUGUUAAUCCGAUCAAGAGAAGAUCGUGGCUGCGGUAGCAGAUGGAGUGUGAAGGGAAUAAGACAGAUAAGUAAUAUAUAGGCUUCCCGCAAUGAUUUACUCGUUUAAAAAAAUAUGCUCAUUGUGUUGAUUCGAGGCUUACCAAUUCUGAAAAAUCAUCCCAUGUGACUCGCGUCAUGGUUUUCACCAUUCCUGAGAUUACGAUACAGAUAUUCAUUGAUAAUUUCGUUUUU